RNAcentral lists this ribosomal RNA (253 nucleotides) under uncultured bacterium. RNAcentral describes it as "partial 16S ribosomal RNA". It matches the Rfam family "Bacterial small subunit ribosomal RNA", at positions 524 to 776 of the family's 1533-position model. The record is from RNAcentral.
UACGGAGGGAGCUAGCGUUGUUCGGAUCUACUGGGCGUAAAGCGCACGUAGGCGGCGCCGUAAGUCAGGGGUGAAAUCCCGGAGCUCAACUCCGGAACUGCCCUUGAAACUGCAGUGCUAGAAUCUUGGAGAGGCGAGUGGAAUUCCGAGUGUAGAGGUGAAAUUCGUAGAUAUUCGGAAGAACACCAGUGGCGAAGGCGACUCGCUGGACAAGUAUUGACGCUGAGGAGCGAAAGCGUGGGGAGCGAACAGG